UCAACACCCUCCACCUCAGCUUUC
Molecule: non-coding RNA, 24 nt
Filed under: Arabidopsis thaliana (thale cress)
Lineage: Eukaryota; Viridiplantae; Streptophyta; Magnoliopsida; Brassicales; Brassicaceae
Source: RNAcentral